AACGAACGCUGGCGGCAGGCUUAACACAUGCAAGUCGAACGCCCCGCAAGGGGAGUGGCAGACGGGUGAGUAACGCGUGGGAACAUACCCUUUUCUACGGAAUAGCUCUGGGAAACUGGAAUUAAUACCGUAUACGCCCUACGGGGGAAAGAUUUAUCGGGGAAGGAUUGGCCCGCGUUGGAUUAGCUAGUUGGUGGGGUAAAGGCCUACCAAGGCGACGAUCCAUAGCUGGUCUGAGAGGAUGAUCAGCCACAUUGGGACUGAGACACGGCCCAAACUCCUACGGGAGGCAGCAGUGGGGAAUAUUAGACAAUGGGCGCAAGCCUGAUCCAGCCAUGCCGCGUGAGUGAUGAAGGCCUUAGGGUUGUAAAGCUCUUUCACCGAUGAAGAUAAUGACGGUAGUCGGAGAAGAAGCCCCGGCUAACUUCGUG
RNAcentral lists this ribosomal RNA (431 nucleotides) under uncultured bacterium. Its description in RNAcentral is "partial 16S ribosomal RNA". It matches the Rfam family "Bacterial small subunit ribosomal RNA", at positions 29 to 507 of the family's 1533-position model. The record is from RNAcentral.